This 495-nucleotide ribosomal RNA is filed under the name uncultured bacterium. RNAcentral describes it as "partial 16S ribosomal RNA". It matches the Rfam family "Bacterial small subunit ribosomal RNA", at positions 28 to 507 of the family's 1533-position model. The record is from RNAcentral.
GACGAACGCUGGCGGCGUGCCUAAUACAUGCAAGUAGAACGCUGAAGGAGGAGCUUGCUCUUCUGGAUGAGUUGCGAACGGGUGAGUAACGCGUAGGUAACCUGCCUGGUAGCGGGGGAUAACUAUUGGAAACGAUAGCUAAUACCGCAUAAGAGUAGAUGUUGCAUGACAUUUGCUUAAAAGGUGCAAUUGCAUCACUACCAGAUGGACCUGCUUUGUAUUAGCUAGUUGGUGGGGUAACGGCUCACCAAGGCGACGAUACAUCGCCGACCGGUGAGGGUGAUCGGCCACACUGGGACGGAGACACGGCCCAGACGCCUACGGGAGGCAGCAGUAGGGAAUCUUCGGCAAGGGACGGAAGUCUGACCGAGAAACGCCGCGUGAGUGAAGAAGGUUUUCGGAUCGUAAAGCUCUGUUGUAAGAGAAGAACGAGUGUGAGAGUGGAAAGUUCACACUGUGACGGUAUCUGACCAGAAAGGGACGGCUAACUACGUG